This 497-nucleotide ribosomal RNA is filed under the name uncultured bacterium. RNAcentral's name for it is "partial 16S ribosomal RNA". It matches the Rfam family "Bacterial small subunit ribosomal RNA", at positions 28 to 507 of the family's 1533-position model. The record is from RNAcentral.
GAUGAACGCUGGCGGCGUGCCUAAUACAUGCAAGUCGAGCGAACAGACGAGGAGCUUGCUCCUCUGACGUUAGCGGCGGACGGGUGAGUAACACGUGGAUAACCUACCUAUAAGACUGGGAUAACUUCGGGAAACCGGAGCUAAUACCGGAUAAUAUAUUGAACCGCAUGGUUCAAUAGUGAAAGACGGUUUUGCUGUCACUUAUAGAUGGAUCCGCGCCGCAUUAGCUAGUUGGUAAGGUAACGGCUUACCAAGGCGACGAUGCGUAGCCGACCUGAGAGGGUGAUCGGCCACACUGGAACUGAGACACGGUCCAGACUCCUACGGGAGGCAGCAGUAGGGAAUCUUCCGCAAUGGGCGAAAGCCUGAAAGAGCAACGCCGCGUGAGUGAUGAAGGUCUUCGGAUCGUAAAACUCUGUUAUUAGGGAAGAACAAAUGUGUAAGUAACUAUGCACGUCUUGACGGUACCUAAUCAGAAAGCCACGGCUAACUACGUG